UCCUCCUCCUCUUCCUCUUCCUCCUCUUCCUCUUCAUUCUCCUUCUCCUCCUCCUCCUCCUUUCGUUUGUCAUUUCCUGUUGAGAGGGAGAGAGAAACGAACAAGUAGACACAGGUGUUGGAGAGAGGAGGAGGGAAGGAGAGAUGGGAAGGAGAAAAGGAGGUAGGAACAGGGAGGAAAUGGAGGGAGGGAGGAAAGUGGAGGUAACAGGUGGCUGGAGAGAGGAGGAGGGAGGAAGGAGAGAAGGCGAGGGGAAGAGUGGGAGAGGGAGGGGGAGAGAAAAGGGAAAAAGUCACUCCACAAUAUCAGUCAUUCUGUUGGUGUGUUGCAGGACGUGAAGAUGGACCCGGAGUGAUUGCCAAGGACUUACCAGUGAAUUGUGUGGAAAUUAAAACGUGGCAGCAGUGCGAACAGAACAAGUUACCAGCUAGCCGCCAGCGAGGGUGACCCAACAUUGCCCGCGCACUGGAUAAUGCCGGUGAGACAAGAUAGGAAGAGGUGGACCGAGAAGCGGUAGGCGUGGGAACAUGUAACGUCUGCACUGCCCCAUGCCACUUGCCCCAACCAUGACUCCACCUGAGUGACGGGCCUCAACACUGCACUGCACCUGAACCGAAUUCUCCCAGCAGCAUGAUGGUCGGGCUGGUGUACCUGGGGGCACUUGGGGGCCGGCGUCGGCUGGAUGGUAAG
Eriocheir sinensis (Chinese mitten crab) is the source of this 690-nucleotide long non-coding RNA. RefSeq lists it as uncharacterized. The transcript is spliced from 3 exons. Lineage: Eukaryota; Metazoa; Arthropoda; Malacostraca; Decapoda; Varunidae. The record is from RefSeq and is a predicted model, not a curated record.